RNAcentral lists this ribosomal RNA (927 nucleotides) under Photobacterium sp. RNAcentral describes it as "bacterial SSU rRNA". It matches the Rfam family "Bacterial small subunit ribosomal RNA", at positions 44 to 950 of the family's 1533-position model. Lineage: Bacteria; Pseudomonadati; Pseudomonadota; Gammaproteobacteria; Vibrionales; Vibrionaceae. The record is from RNAcentral.
AGGCCUAACACAUGCAAGUCGAGCGGCAGCGACAACAUUGACCCUUCGGGGGAUUUGUUGGGCGGCGAGCGGCGGACGGGUGAGUAAUGCCUGGGAACAUGCCUUAGUGUGGGGGAUAACCAUUGGAAACGAUGGCUAAUACCGCAUAAUCUCUACGGAGCAAAGAGGGGGACCUUCGGGCCUCUCGCGCUAAGAUUGGCCCAGGUGGGAUUAGCUAGUAGGUGGGGUAACGGCUCACCUAGGCGACGAUCCCUAGCUGGUCUGAGAGGAUGAUCAGCCACACUGGAACUGAGACACGGUCCAGACUCCUACGGGAGGCAGCAGUGGGGAAUAUUGCACAAUGGGGGAAACCCUGAUGCAGCCAUGCCGCGUGUGUGAAGAAGGCCUUCGGGUUGUAAAGCACUUUCAGCAGUGAGGAAGGCGGUAUCGUUAAUAGCGGUAUUGUUUGACGUUAGCUGCAGAAGAAGCACCGGCUAACUCCGUGCCAGCAGCCGCGGUAAUACGGAGGGUGCGAGCGUUAAUCGGAAUUACUGGGCGUAAAGCGCAUGCAGGCGGCUUGUUAAGCCAGAUGUGAAAGCCCGGGGCUCAACCUCGGAAUCGCAUUUGGAACUGGCAGGCUAGAGUCUUGUAGAGGGGGGUAGAAUUUCAGGUGUAGCGGUGAAAUGCGUAGAGAUCUGAAGGAAUACCGGUGGCGAAGGCGGCCCCCUGGACAAAGACUGACGCUCAGAUGCGAAAGCGUGGGGAGCAAACAGGAUUAGAUACCCUGGUAGUCCACGCCGUAAACGAUGUCUACUUGGAGGUUGGUGUCUUGAACACUGGCUUUCGGAGCUAACGCGUUAAGUAGACCGCCUGGGGAGUACGGUCGCAAGAUUAAAACUCAAAUGAAUUGACGGGGGCCCGCACAAGCGGUGGAGCAUGUGGUUUAAU